UCCCUGGUAGCUCAGAUGGUAAAGCGUCUGCCUGCAAUGCAGGAGACCCAGGUUCGAUCCCUGGGUUGGGAA
RNAcentral lists this transfer RNA (72 nucleotides) under Bos taurus (domestic cattle). It matches the Rfam family "tRNA". From Rfam's summary of the family: Transfer RNA (tRNA) molecules are approximately 80 nucleotides in length. Their secondary structure includes four short double-helical elements and three loops (D, anti-codon, and T loops). The record is from Rfam by way of RNAcentral. RNAcentral also lists the same sequence under 6 other names. Lineage: Eukaryota; Metazoa; Chordata; Mammalia; Artiodactyla; Bovidae.